GGGACACGUGGUAUCCUGUCUGAAUAUGGGGGGACCAUCCUCCAAGGCUAAAUACUCCUGACUGACCGAUAGUGAACCAGUACCGUGAGGGAAAGGCGAAAAGAACCCCGGCGAGGGGAGUGAAAAAGAACCUGAAACCGUGUACGUACAAGCAGUGGGAGCACGCUUCGGCGUGUGACUGCGUACCUUUUGUAUAAUGGGUCAGCGACUUAUAUUCUGUAGCAAGGUUAACCGAAUAGGGGAGCCGAAGGGAAACCGAGUCUUAACUGGGCGUUAAGUUGCAGGGUAUAGACCCGAAACCCGGUGAUCUAGCCAUGGGCAGGUUGAAGGUUGGGUAACACUAACUGGAGGACCGAACCGACUAAUGUUGAAAAAUUAGCGGAUGACUUGUGGCUGGGGGUGAAAGGCCAAUCAAACCGGGAGAUAGCUGGUUCUCCCCGAAAGCUAUUUAGGUAGCGCCUCGUGAAUUCAUCUCCGGGGGUAGAGCACUGUUUCGGCAAGGGGGUCAUCCCGACUUACCAACCCGAUGCAAACUGCGAAUACCGGAGAAUGUUAUCACGGGAGACACACGGCGGGUGCUAACGUCCGUCGUGAAGAGGGAAACAACCCAGACCGCCAGCUAAGGUCCCAAAGUCAUGGUUAAGUGGGAAACGAUGUGGGAAGGCCCAGACAGCCAGGAUGUUGGCUUAGAAGCAGCCAUCAUUUAAAGAAAGCGUAAUAGCUCACUGGUCGAGUCGGCCUGCGCGGAAGAUGUAACGGGGCUAAACCAUGCACCGAAGCUGCGGCAGCGACACUAUGUGUUGUUGGGUAGGGGAGCGUUCUGUAAGCCUGUGAAGGUGUACUGUGAGGUAUGCUGGAGGUAUCAGAAGUGCGAAUGCUGACAUAAGUAACGAUAAAGCGGGUGAAAAGCCCGCUCGCCGGAAGACCAAGGGUUCCUGUCCAACGUUAAUCGGGGCAGGGUGAGUCGACCCCUAAGGCGAGGCCGAAAGGCGUAGUCGAUGGGAAACAGGUUAAUAUUCCUGUACUUGGUGUUACUGCGAAGGGGGGACGGAGAAGGCUAUGUUGGCCGGGCGACGGUUGUCCCGGUUUAAGCGUGUAGGCUGGUUUUCCAGGCAAAUCCGGAAAAUCAAGGCUGAGGCGUGAUGACGAGGCACUACGGUGCUGAAGCAACAAAUGCCCUGCUUCCAGGAAAAGCCUCUAAGCAUCAGGUAACAUCAAAUCGUACCCCAAACCGACACAGGUGGUCAGGUAGAGAAUACCAAGGCGCUUGAGAGAACUCGGGUGAAGGAACUAGGCAAAAUGGUGCCGUAACUUCGGGAGAAGGCACGCUGAUAUGUAGGUGAAGUCCCUCGCGGAUGGAGCUGAAAUCAGUCGAAGAUACCAGCUGGCUGCAACUGUUUAUUAAAAACACAGCACUGUGCAAACACGAAAGUGGACGUAUACGGUGUGACGCCUGCCCGGUGCCGGAAGGUUAAUUGAUGGGGUUAGCGGUAACGCGAAGCUCUUGAUCGAAGCCCCGGUAAACGGCGGCCGUAACUAUAACGGUCCUAAGGUAGCGAAAUUCCUUGUCGGGUAAGUUCCGACCUGCACGAAUGGCGUAAUGAUGGCCAGGCUGUCUCCACCCGAGACUCAGUGAAAUUGAACUCGCUGUGAAGAUGCAGUGUACCCGCGGCAAGACGGAAAGACCCCGUGAACCUUUACUAUAGCUUGACACUGAACAUUGAGCCUUGAUGUGUAGGAUAGGUGGGAGGCUUUGAAGUGUGGACGCCAGUCUGCAUGGAGCCGACCUUGAAAUACCACCCUUUAAUGUUUGAUGUUCUAACGUUGGCCCCUGAUCGGGGUUGCGGACAGUGUCUGGUGGGUAGUUUGACUGGGGCGGUCUCCUCCUAAAGAGUAACGGAGGAGCACGAAGGUUGGCUAAUCCUGGUCGGACAUCAGGAGGUUAGUGCAAUGGCAUAAGCCAGCUUGACUGCGAGCGUGACGGCGCGAGCAGGUGCGAAAGCAGGUCAUAGUGAUCCGGUGGUUCUGAAUGGAAGGGCCAUCGCUCAACGGAUAAAAGGUACUCCGGGGAUAACAGGCUGAUACCGCCCAAGAGUUCAUAUCGACGGCGGUGUUUGGCACCUCGAUGUCGGCUCAUCACAUCCUGGGGCUGAAGUAGGUCCCAAGGGUAUGGCUGUUCGCCAUUUAAAGUGGUACGCGAGCUGGGUUUAGAACGUCGUGAGACAGUUCGGUCCCUAUCUGCCGUGGGCGCUGGAGAACUGAGGGGGGCUGCUCCUAGUACGAGAGGACCGGAGUGGACGCAUCACUGGUGUUCGGGUUGUCAUGCCAAUGGCACUGCCCGGUAGCUAAAUGCGGAAGAGAUAAGUGCUGAAAGCAUCUAAGCACGAAACUUGCC
This 2395-nucleotide ribosomal RNA is filed under the name Escherichia coli. RNAcentral's name for it is "partial 23S ribosomal RNA". It matches the Rfam family "Bacterial large subunit ribosomal RNA", at positions 419 to 2798 of the family's 2925-position model. The record is from RNAcentral. Lineage: Bacteria; Pseudomonadati; Pseudomonadota; Gammaproteobacteria; Enterobacterales; Enterobacteriaceae.